Molecule: non-coding RNA, 92 nt
Organism: Acanthosepion pharaonis
Lineage: Eukaryota; Metazoa; Mollusca; Cephalopoda; Sepiida; Sepiidae
Source: the annotation of a GenBank genome assembly
CAUUAAAACGCCGAUUCUCGUACGAUCAUCGAAGUUAAGCAACGUUGAGCCUGGCCAGUACCUAAAUGGGUGACCGCUUGGGAAUGCCACGU